UAAUACGUAGGUGGCGAGCGUUAUCCGGAUUUAUUGGGCGUAAAGAGGGCGCAGGCGGCUUUUCAAGUCGAAUGUAAAAUCUCCCGGCUUAACUGGGAGGGACCAUGCGAUACUGUUGAGCUAGAGGGCAACAGGGGGAGGUAGAAUUCCCGGUGUAGUGGUGAAAUGCGUAGAUAUCGGGAGGAAUACCAGUGGCGAAGGCGGCCUCCUAGGUUGUUACUGACGCUUAUGCCCGAAGGCGUGGGGAGCAAACAGGAUUAGAUACCCUGGUAGUCCACGCUGUAAACGAUGGACACUAGGUAUAGGGAGUAUCGACCCUCUCUGUGCCGAAGCUAACGCGUUAAGUGUCCCGCCUGGGGACUACGGCCGCAAGGCUA
RNAcentral lists this ribosomal RNA (377 nucleotides) under uncultured Chloroflexota bacterium. Its description in RNAcentral is "bacterial SSU rRNA". It matches the Rfam family "Bacterial small subunit ribosomal RNA", at positions 521 to 896 of the family's 1533-position model. Lineage: Bacteria; Bacillati; Chloroflexota. The record is from RNAcentral.